RNAcentral lists this ribosomal RNA (254 nucleotides) under uncultured bacterium. RNAcentral describes it as "partial 16S ribosomal RNA". It matches the Rfam family "Bacterial small subunit ribosomal RNA", at positions 524 to 776 of the family's 1533-position model. The record is from RNAcentral.
UACGGGGGGAGCAAGCGUUGUUCGGAUUUACUGGGCGUAAAGGGCGCGUAGGCGGCCACCGCAAGUCGACUGUGAAAUCUCCGGGCUUAACCCGGAAAGGUCAGCCGAUACUGCGGGGCUAGAGUGCAGAAGGGGCAACUGGAAUUCUCGGUGUAGCGGUGAAAUGCGUAGAUAUCGGGAGGAACACCAGUGGCGAAGGCGGCUCGCUGGGCCGGACCUGACGCUGAGGCGCGAAGGCGUGGGGAGCGAACGGG